This 411-nucleotide ribosomal RNA is filed under the name Salmonella enterica subsp. enterica serovar Tennessee. Its description in RNAcentral is "bacterial LSU rRNA". It matches the Rfam family "Bacterial large subunit ribosomal RNA", at positions 139 to 588 of the family's 2925-position model. Lineage: Bacteria; Pseudomonadati; Pseudomonadota; Gammaproteobacteria; Enterobacterales; Enterobacteriaceae. The record is from RNAcentral.
UUCGUCACACUAUCAUUAACUGAAUCCAUAGGUUAAUGAGGCGAACCGGGGGAACUGAAACAUCUAAGUACCCCGAGGAAAAGAAAUCAACCGAGAUUCCCCCAGUAGCGGCGAGCGAACGGGGAGGAGCCCAGAGCCUGAAUCAGCAUGUGUGUUAGUGGAAGCGUCUGGAAAGGCGCGCGAUACAGGGUGACAGCCCCGUACACAAAAGCGCAUGUGCUGUGAGCUCGAUGAGUAGGGCGGGACACGUGGUAUCCUGUCUGAAUAUGGGGGGACCAUCCUCCAAGGCUAAAUACUCCUGACUGACCGAUAGUGAACCAGUACCGUGAGGGAAAGGCGAAAAGAACCCCGGCGAGGGGAGUGAAAAAGAACCUGAAACCGUGUACGUACAAGCAGUGGGAGCCCCACCAC